This 374-nucleotide ribosomal RNA is filed under the name uncultured organism. Its description in RNAcentral is "partial 16S ribosomal RNA". It matches the Rfam family "Bacterial small subunit ribosomal RNA", at positions 527 to 896 of the family's 1533-position model. The record is from RNAcentral.
GUAGGUGGCGAGCGUUGUCCGGAAUUAUUGGGCGUAAAGCGCGCGCAGGCGGUCCUUUAAGUCUGAUGUGAAAGCCCACGGCUCAACCGUGGAGGGUCAUUGGAAACUGGGGGACUUGAGUACAGAAGAGGAAAGCGGAAUUCCAAGUGUAGCGGUGAAAUGCGUAGAGAUUUGGAGGAACACCAGUGGCGAAGGCGGCUUUCUGGUCUGUAACUGACGCUGAGGCGCGAAAGCGUGGGGAGCAAACAGGAUUAGAUACCCUGGUAGUCCGCGCCGUAAACGAUGAGUGCUAAGUGUUAGGGGGUUUCCCGCCCCCCUUAGUGCUGCAGCUAACGCAUUAAGCACUCCGCCUGGGGAGUACGGCCGCAAGGCUG